GCCGGGCAUGGUGGCGUGUGCCUGUAAUCCCAACUACUGGGGGGCUGAGGCAGGAGGAUCGCUUGAACCUGGGAGGCGGAGGUUGCAGUGAGCCGAGAUCAUGCCACUGCACUCCAGCCUGGGCAACAAAGUGAGACUUUGUCUUGA
Molecule: non-coding RNA, 147 nt
Filed under: Pan troglodytes (chimpanzee)
Lineage: Eukaryota; Metazoa; Chordata; Mammalia; Primates; Hominidae
Source: Rfam by way of RNAcentral